This 852-nucleotide long non-coding RNA is filed under the name Volvox carteri. Its description in RNAcentral is "long non-coding RNA (VCAR_LNC000827)". The record is from RNAcentral. Lineage: Eukaryota; Viridiplantae; Chlorophyta; Chlorophyceae; Chlamydomonadales; Volvocaceae.
AGGACGUUUCGGAUGUCGUACAUAAUGCUAACUACAGCGUCCUAUCCUUGCAAAAUGAGAAAUAUGACCUGAUCCGAUGAAUAGUCAGCUGAGAUUUGGAAGAUUAUUGUGCCAGAGAUUAUUGUCGGCAUCACAAUUUCAACGAGGUUUACCGUGAGCUACUCUGAACAUUAUGAAUAACAAGUGAACCUUAUCAUAUCGGAUCCAUGCGCUGCGAAAGGAUGCAAACCCCCAGCAGCGACCGUGCGCUGCGAGCGCCAUUGCUCUGUCCUUUUGUAGCAGAUUCACAACACCUGUUCGCAGACGAUGAUGAAAUUAGCUGGUGGGGUUCUCUUAAACGGAUGGGGAAGGUAAAUCAAUGUCGGGUCGAGAGUGUGGCGGACUGUCGGAAUGCUUUUCCAGCGGACUGGAGCUUUGAAAUAUGCUUUGGAUAUUGAUUUGGAUUCGGCUUUUUAUCGAAACUAGAUUCUCAAGCGGCUUUCCAAACGUACUCACAUCACAGAGUACGCACAGACACCCGUGUUGACCAUCACACCUCCACUUUACUAGCGUGUAGCCGUACCUUCAUCUAUUGGUGCCGUCUGUGUGUAUACGCCUUAUAACUUAACGGUUUUUCAACCAGUACCUAGACACCCUGACAUUACUGCUCCACCUCGCCGAGUGUUUAGACGACCUGACAUUACUGCUCCAUCUUUCAGUGUGACAUUUUCACCGCCGCUGUUCCACACCUGCUGUCCCCCCAAACGCCAAACACAGGACUUCUCCCAGCAGCUGUCUCUGGCUGGUCCGCUGGCCGUCAACCUGGUUAGCUCCAACGCCCUUGCCCUGACCAACCUUUACUUCGUGUCCCAG